RNAcentral lists this small nuclear RNA (327 nucleotides) under Dipodomys ordii (Ord's kangaroo rat). RNAcentral's name for it is "7SK RNA". It matches the Rfam family "7SK RNA". From Rfam's summary of the family: 7SK was discovered as an abundant small nuclear RNA in the mid-70s but a possible function has only recently been suggested. Two independent studies have found that 7SK RNA binds the CDK9/cyclin T complex (known as elongation factor P-TEFb). P-TEFb activates transcription by phosphorylating the C-terminal domain of RNA polymerase II. Lineage: Eukaryota; Metazoa; Chordata; Mammalia; Rodentia; Heteromyidae. The record is from Rfam by way of RNAcentral.
GAAUGUGAAGACAAUCUGGCUAUGACAUCAUCAUUCCAUUGAUCACCAAAGUUGAGUCACGUGAUAUGGUUGGCUACAUGGGUGUCCUCUUCUUGACUUACCCAUCCAUAUGUACCCAACUGUGUUGUAUUCUUGAUCAAAGAAGACAACCUUCCCAGAUGCAGGAAGACCAUUCUUCAGUCAAGGGUCCCCUGGCACUUUGUAAGGAGAGCGGAGGCAGAGAGAAGAUGGCAGAGGCAGCUUCAAGUCAAAGAACCCUCAGAAGCCAGAAAGAGGCAAGGAAGGGUUCUUCCUACGACCCCCGCAGAGGGCAGGUGGCCCUCCUAC